GCCCUUCCUACGGGAGGCAGCAGGAGGGAAUCUUCCGCAAUGGACGAAAGUCUGACGGAGCAACGCCGCGUGAGUGAAGAAGGGUUUCGGCUCGUAAAACUCUGUUGUUAAGGAAGAAUGGCACAUGGCGUAACUACCACGUGUGUGACGGUACUUAACCAGAAAGCCGCGGCUAACUACGUGCCAGCAGCCGCGGUAAUACGUAGGUGGCAAGCGUUAUCCGGAAUUAUUGGGCGUAAAGCGCGCGUAGGCGGUUUCUUAAGUCUGAUGUGAAAGCCCCCGGCUCAACCGGGGAGGGUCAUUGGAAACUGGGGAACUUGAGUGCAGAAGAGGAGAGUGGAAUUCCAUGUGUAGCGGUGAAAUGCGCAGAGAUAUGGAGGAACACCAGUGGCGAAGGCGGCUCUCUGGUCUGUAACUGACGCUGAUGUGCGAAAGCGUGGGGAUCAAACAGGAUUAGAUACCCUGGUAGUCCACGCCGUAAACGAUGAGUGCUAAGUGUUGGAGGGUUUCCGCCCUUCAGUGCUGGAGUUAACGCAUUAAGCACUCCGCCUGGGGAGUACGACCGCAAGGUUGAAACUCAAAGGAAUUGACGGAAGGGC
RNAcentral lists this ribosomal RNA (599 nucleotides) under uncultured bacterium. RNAcentral's name for it is "bacterial SSU rRNA". It matches the Rfam family "Bacterial small subunit ribosomal RNA", at positions 332 to 922 of the family's 1533-position model. The record is from RNAcentral.